CUCUACACUGCAUCAAAGUGUUGUUUCUUUAGUGUUGAAUAUAUCAUAUGUAGAUUUUACAAUGUUGCGGUAUAUUAAAAGGAAAAUGUCAAGCACUAGGACCAAGCGAUGCGAAGUGAAGCCCACUUUCCUUUAGACCGCCUACAAGCUAAUCGAUUGGCUCAGUGGUUUGUUUUUUUAAUGUCCUAACGCGUGAUUGGCCGCAAUCGCUGUCAUUCACUCCAUUAAGCACCCAUUAGCCCAGAGUUCGUGUUCAUCGAACUAAGUUGCUAACUUCUUACCCGUUGAGUUCUGCUUAGCUAGCUUAAAAAUGCUAUAAUAUUGCUAUAAUAUUUCAAGGGGAAUAUUAUUUUAUUAUACUCUUUCGACUAUAUUUCACCCUUCUAAUUAGAAAUGAGUCCUCAAACAUGUAAAUGUAUUAAAAAUACAUCGUAAAAAAUAAUGAUAUUACUCUACACUGCAUCAAAUUGUUGUUUCUUUAGUAUUGAAUAUAUCAUAUGUAGAUUUUACAAUGUUGCGGUAUAUUAAGAUGAAAAUGUCAUGCACUAGGACCAAGCGAUUUCGAGCUUGAAGGCCGCUUUCCUUUAGACCGCCCACAAGCUAACCGAUUGGCUCGGUGGUUUGUUUUUUAAUGUUCUAACGCGUGAUUGGCCGCAAUCGCUGUCACUCACUCCACGAGCGCCGGUUAGCCCGGAGUUGUGUUCAUCGAAGACCGCUAAGCUAAACAUCGAUGUGAUUUGUGCGGCCUGAGCGAUGAUGCAAACAGCGUGGCACUUCCUGCUGAUGACACCUCCCAGCCUGGCUGGACUUAGAGCCUUGUGUGAUCCCCAUAAGCCGGAACAGUUCCAUCACUAUGUUUCCAUCCCGGGUGGUUGGAGGCCAAGUUGCUUGAAAAAAGGAACGAGAACGAUGAGAAAUCCCCACUGGCUGGCAGUGCUCUUUGAUUGACAUCUUUUCAAGUGGUGGGAAAUGGAACCCCAUAUGAAUGACACUCUCACUUCCUGUGACUUCUUGGAAGGCCAACUGUGAGCCGUAAUCGCUCCUGUGUGUCCGAGGUCUGCCCUAAGGCCUGCCCUUCAGUGGGCAUGCCUGGAAGGCGGACAAGAUGCCUGAGCCACAUCAAGUGGGUCCUCUCCCGGAUGACUGAGAUCCUCCUCCUAUCUCUUAGGGCUUCAUCCAUCAGUUUGCCGCACGGACAGGAAGUAGAGUCUGCUAAACGGCGUUACCAACAUGGCCUACAUGUGGCGUGACAUUCAUCAAGCUGAUGGAAGAAACGAUUGUCGACUGCAGACGCACGUGUCCUCGCACACGCUCAGGAAGUGUCUGCACAACAACAAUGAGCCACGGUGAAGACCUGCACAUGCAAAACAAACAUCACAUUCUUUCAAGCUCCCCCGCUGUAUAAACACGUGUGUGUGUCAGCUUUGUGAUCAUUAUGAUGCUACGCCGCUACAAAAGUCAUACUCUGUUGUCUUACCUUGUCACUGUUAGGAAUAGAAUAUUUUCCCUCCUUUGUACAAGACAUGUUGAAGGCUUGUUGACAGCGGAGGCAAAAUAUUCCAUUCCUAACACAACCUCGAUUGGUUGUCUCCUGUUUCAACCCUUAGUCCUUGUGUAAUUGUUUACCAUUUGGUUCUUAAAAAGAAGUCAAUAUUGAAGGCUUGUUGAUAGCAGAGGCAAAAUAUUCCAUUCCUAACACAACCUACAUUGGUAGUCUCCUAUUUCAAUCCUCAGUCAUUGUGUAAUUGUUUACCGUUUUGUUCUUAAAAAGAAGUCAAUAUUGAA
Molecule: non-coding RNA, 1785 nt
Organism: Doryrhamphus excisus (bluestripe pipefish)
Lineage: Eukaryota; Metazoa; Chordata; Actinopteri; Syngnathiformes; Syngnathidae
Source: RefSeq, a predicted model, not a curated record